RNAcentral lists this ribosomal RNA (322 nucleotides) under uncultured eukaryote. RNAcentral describes it as "partial 18S ribosomal RNA". It matches the Rfam family "Eukaryotic small subunit ribosomal RNA", at positions 1470 to 1796 of the family's 1831-position model. The record is from RNAcentral.
CCCUUAGAUGUUCUGGGCCGCACGCGUGCUACACUGAGUGGAUCAGCGGGUCAGGUUGCGCGAAAGUGUUUCCUAAUCUUUAAAUCCGCUCGUGAUGGGGAUUGACGGUUGCAAUUUUCCGUCAUGAACGAGGAAUACCUUGUAAGCGCGGGUCAUCAGCCCGCGCUGAAUACGUCCCUGCCCUUUGUACACACCGCCCGUCGCUCCUACCGAUUGAGUGGUCCGGUGAGGCUUUGGGAUCUGAGCGGAAAGAGCGUUUCGCUGUUUCUGCCCGGAAAACUCAGUCGAACCUUAUCAUUUAGAGGAAGGAGAAGUCGUAACA